This 468-nucleotide ribosomal RNA is filed under the name uncultured bacterium. RNAcentral's name for it is "partial 16S ribosomal RNA". It matches the Rfam family "Bacterial small subunit ribosomal RNA", at positions 28 to 507 of the family's 1533-position model. The record is from RNAcentral.
GACGAACGCUGGCGGCGUGCUUAACACAUGCAAGUCGAACGGAAAGGCCCUGCUUUCGUGGGGUGUUCGAGUGGCGCACGGGUGAGUAACACGUGAGUAACCUUCCCUUGACUUUGGGAUAACUUCAGGAAACUGCGGCUAAUACCGGAUAGGAGCUCCUGCUGCAUGGUGGGGUUUGGACAGUUUCGGCGGUUGGGGAUGGACUGGGGGCUUAUUAGCUUGUUGGUGGGGGAGUGGCCUACCAAGGGUUUGACGGGUGGCCGGCCUGAGAGGGGGACCGGCCACCAGGGGACUGAGAGACGGACCAGACUGGUACGGGGGGCAACGGUGGGGAAUAUUGCACAACGGGCGGAAGUGUGAUGAGAAGACGUCCGGUGUGGGAAGACCGUCAUGGGGGGGGAAACCGCAUUCGCCUGAUACGAAGCGGGAGUGACGGUAAUGGGUAAAGAAGCACCGGCUAACUACGUG